UACGGAGGGGGCUAGCGUUGUUCGGAAUUACUGGGCGUAAAGCGUGCGCAGGCGGCUUCUCAAGUCAGGGGUGAAAGCCCAGAGCUCAACUCUGGAAUUGCCUUUGAGACUGAGUGGCUUGAGUACGGGAGAGGUGAGUGGAAUUCCCAGUGUAGAGGUGAAAUUCGUAGAUAUUGGGAAGAACACCGGUGGCGAAGGCGGCUCACUGGCCCGUAACUGACGCUCAUGCACGACAGCGUGGGGAUCAAACAGG
This 253-nucleotide ribosomal RNA is filed under the name uncultured bacterium. RNAcentral's name for it is "partial 16S ribosomal RNA". It matches the Rfam family "Bacterial small subunit ribosomal RNA", at positions 524 to 776 of the family's 1533-position model. The record is from RNAcentral.